This 253-nucleotide ribosomal RNA is filed under the name uncultured bacterium. Its description in RNAcentral is "partial 16S ribosomal RNA". It matches the Rfam family "Bacterial small subunit ribosomal RNA", at positions 524 to 776 of the family's 1533-position model. The record is from RNAcentral.
UACGUAGGCAGCAAGCGUUGUUCGGAGUUACUGGGCGUAAAGAGUGCGUAGGCGGUCCUGUAAGUUUGGUGUGAAAUCUCCCGGCUCAACUGGGAGGGUGCGCCGAAGACUGCAGGGCUUGAGUAUGGGAGAGGUAAGCGGAAUUCCUGGUGUAGCGGUGAAAUGCGUAGAUAUCAGGAGGAACACCUGUGGUGUAGACAGCUUACUGGACCAUAACUGACGCUGAGGCACGAAAGCGUGGGUAGCAAACAGG